RNAcentral lists this ribosomal RNA (254 nucleotides) under uncultured bacterium. Its description in RNAcentral is "partial 16S ribosomal RNA". It matches the Rfam family "Bacterial small subunit ribosomal RNA", at positions 524 to 776 of the family's 1533-position model. The record is from RNAcentral.
UACGGGGGGAGCAAGCGUUGUUCGGAUUUACUGGGCGUAAAGGGCGCGUAGGCGGCCAGCGCAAGUCAGUUGUGAAAUCUCCGGGCUUAACUCGGAAAGGUCAACUGAUACUGCGCGGCUAGAGUGCAGAAGGGGCAACUGGAAUUCUUGGUGUAGCGGUGAAAUGCGUAGAUAUCAAGAGGAACACCUGCGGCGAAGGCGGGUUGCUGGGCUGACACUGACGCUGAAGUGCGAAAGCCAGGGGAGCGAACGGG